Molecule: ribosomal RNA, 1771 nt
Filed under: Escherichia coli
Lineage: Bacteria; Pseudomonadati; Pseudomonadota; Gammaproteobacteria; Enterobacterales; Enterobacteriaceae
Description: partial 23S ribosomal RNA
Rfam family: Bacterial large subunit ribosomal RNA
Source: RNAcentral
ACACAAAAAUGCACAUGCUGUGAGCUCGAUGAGUAGGGCGGGACACGUGGUAUCCUGUCUGAAUAUGGGGGGACCAUCCUCCAAGGCUAAAUACUCCUGACUGACCGAUAGUGAACCAGUACCGUGAGGGAAAGGCGAAAAGAACCCCGGCGAGGGGAGUGAAAAAGAACCUGAAACCGUGUACGUACAAGCAGUGGGAGCACGCUUAGGCGUGUGACUGCGUACCUUUUGUAUAAUGGGUCAGCGACUUAUAUUCUGUAGCAAGGUUAACCGAAUAGGGGAGCCGAAGGGAAACCGAGUCUUAACUGGGCGUUAAGUUGCAGGGUAUAGACCCGAAACCCGGUGAUCUAGCCAUGGGCAGGUUGAAGGUUGGGUAACACUAACUGGAGGACCGAACCGACUAAUGUUGAAAAAUUAGCGGAUGACUUGUGGCUGGGGGUGAAAGGCCAAUCAAACCGGGAGAUAGCUGGUUCUCCCCGAAAGCUAUUUAGGUAGCGCCUCGUGAAUUCAUCUCCGGGGGUAGAGCACUGUUUCGGCAAGGGGGUCAUCCCGACUUACCAACCCGAUGCAAACUGCGAAUACCGGAGAAUGUUAUCACGGGAGACACACGGCGGGUGCUAACGUCCGUCGUGAAGAGGGAAACAACCCAGACCGCCAGCUAAGGUCCCAAAGUCAUGGUUAAGUGGGAAACGAUGUGGGAAGGCCCAGACAGCCAGGAUGUUGGCUUAGAAGCAGCCAUCAUUUAAAGAAAGCGUAAUAGCUCACUGGUCGAGUCGGCCUGCGCGGAAGAUGUAACGGGGCUAAACCAUGCACCGAAGCUGCGGCAGCGACGCUUAUGCGUUGUUGGGUAGGGGAGCGUUCUGUAAGCCUGCGAAGGUGUGCUGUGAGGCAUGCUGGAGGUAUCAGAAGUGCGAAUGCUGACAUAAGUAACGAUAAAGCGGGUGAAAAGCCCGCUCGCCGGAAGACCAAGGGUUCCUGUCCAACGUUAAUCGGGGCAGGGUGAGUCGACCCCUAAGGCGAGGCCGAAAGGCGUAGUCGAUGGGAAACAGGUUAAUAUUCCUGUACUUGGUGUUACUGCGAAGGGGGGACGGAGAAGGCUAUGUUGGCCGGGCGACGGUUGUCCCGGUUUAAGCGUGUAGGCUGGUUUUCCAGGCAAAUCCGGAAAAUCAAGGCUGAGGCGUGAUGACGAGGCACUACGGUGCUGAAGCAACAAAUGCCCUGCUUCCAGGAAAAGCCUCUAAGCAUCAGGUAACAUCAAAUCGUACCCCAAACCGACACAGGUGGUCAGGUAGAGAAUACCAAGGCGCUUGAGAGAACUCGGGUGAAGGAACUAGGCAAAAUGGUGCCGUAACUUCGGGAGAAGGCACGCUGAUAUGUAGGUGAAGUCCCUCGCGGAUGGAGCUGAAAUCAGUCGAAGAUACCAGCUGGCUGCAACUGUUUAUUAAAAACACAGCACUGUGCAAACACGAAAGUGGACGUAUACGGUGUGACGCCUGCCCGGUGCCGGAAGGUUAAUUGAUGGGGUCAGCGCAAGCGAAGCUCUUGAUCGAAGCCCCGGUAAACGGCGGCCGUAACUAUAACGGUCCUAAGGUAGCGAAAUUCCUUGUCGGGUAAGUUCCGACCUGCACGAAUGGCGUAAUGAUGGCCAGGCUGUCUCCACCCGAGACUCAGUGAAAUUGAACUCGCUGUGAAGAUGCAGUGUACCCGCGGCAAGACGGAAAGACCCCGUGAACCUUUACUAUAGCUUGACACUGAACAUUGAGCCUUGAUG